RNAcentral lists this ribosomal RNA (1342 nucleotides) under Strombomonas triquetra. RNAcentral's name for it is "partial large subunit ribosomal RNA". It matches the Rfam family "Eukaryotic large subunit ribosomal RNA", at positions 54 to 951 of the family's 3401-position model. The record is from RNAcentral. Lineage: Eukaryota; Euglenozoa; Euglenophyceae; Euglenales; Euglenaceae.
AGGAACCGCAAGCAACCGCGAUUGCUUCAGUAACGGCGAGUGAAUGGGCAACACAAUCUCAGCCUGAAGUGGAUCCCUGACUGCACUGCUGAGGCAGUUGCGUCCGGCUCUCUUGGGUUCAACACAUGCUGUGGGCUGUGGAGCAGGUGGCAGUGUUCAGGCUUGGUCAUGCACCAGGAAUGGCCCUGGAAAGGCCUACCAGAGUGGGAUACUGUCCUUUACAAUCACCUGUGUGUGUGGCCAGCUUGGACGUUGCUGCUUGCAUCCUGGAGUAGAGUGGCUUGGGACUGCAGUUUGAAGUGCAAGGUAUAUCCCUUGCAAGGCAGCAUACUGACAUGGGACCGAUAGAGCACAAGUAGAGUGAUCGAAGGAUGCAAAGGACUCUGCAAAGAGGGUUAAAAGCCCCUGAAGCCUCAGCAGGUACGGCGGUGAGUGGUGCUGUGGUUCACAGCCCUGUGUUGCCUCAUGCCCUGUGGAUCAGCUGGGGUCAGGUCACUGCUGUGGUCAACAGUCAGUGUGUCCUGCCACAGUGGGUCUCAUGGGUGUUGUGGGGUAGCCAGUGGCUGCUGUCCUCUGACCUUGGUUGUUGGGUCACCCCAGUGGUGUAUCCACUCCAGGUCAAGACAGGAUCUGUGAUGCAUGCCAGGUGCCCUUGGGCCAGCCCAGCGCUGGUUACUGAGCUCUGUCCUCCAGGAUGGGAUGCAAUCGUGACAGUGUGUGGUGGCAGUAUGCCUGCCUGGGCCUGAGGUAUCCAGAGUCAACUCCAAGUGAGGUUGCAGAUCAACACAGUGUGCAUGGCCAAGUGGGUCCUCAGUUGAGGCUGGCCACCACAAAGGAGUGUGUGCAACACAAGCAGUGCUGAUGAUCACCCUGGUGUGUCUCCGGACAUGCCAGUGGCUGUGCUUGGUGCUGGUCUGGGCUGGUGGAUGCAUGGUGGCUGCACCAUUCUGAUGGUGGCUCUGUGUGUCUGCUGGUCCUCCAGACCUUGCAUGGUCAGAAGGCAGCUGAGCCUGGUACAAGCAGUGCCACUCUCUGCCCGUCUUGAAACACGGACCAAGGAGUCUAUGGAGCUUGCAUGUUGGCUGGUCUUCUGCCAAACCGGAGUGCAGGGUGAAGGCAAGUCAACCCCAGAUGAGUAGCUGCAUGGGGCACCAGUCCCAAAGUCCAGUGGACAGGGUUCUGAGUGAUUGCAAGGUCCAUGGGACCCGAAAGGUGGUGAACUAUACCGUGCUAUGAUGAAGCCGUGGGAAACUGCGGUGGAGGUCAGUCGCUGUUCUGACGUGCAAAUUGUGUAGCCUGAGUGCGGCAUAGGGGUGAAAGGCCAAUCGAGCCACCUAGUAGC